UCUCUUGCAGGAACCCCUUUGUGAUGACCACCACCAGGCAAACAAUAUAACAUAACAAGGCACCCAGGAGUCCCAGAUUUAUAGUUGACCCAUUAUCCCAAUAGGGUAAUGGCAUCUCCUUGCCAAUUAGUCCAGCAAAAGCACCAACACUGAGUGUAAAAGAACCAACGUGGAUAACUUGACAGCCUUGGACCACUCCUAUGGCCAAAAGGAAUGAAAUUUGCAGAUUAACUGCUUGUCUGAACUCGUGAAAUAGGAAUGAUGAGCCUCCGUGGAGUUGAAGGGGCUUCCUGAUGAACUCAUCUGUUUUCGUCUUUUGUAAUGAGAAGUUACCACUGUGCCCAGAAUGUUCUGCUUCUCUGAAGGCUUGCAGUUCUCACUUUAUACAGCAGCGGUUCCUGAAAUGAUGUCAGCCUCCCAGUAGCUUCUGAAUGAGUCUUCAUUCUAUGUCUCCUUAUCCAUAAUAGAAGCCA
This is a long non-coding RNA of Canis lupus familiaris (dog), 473 nucleotides long. RefSeq lists it as uncharacterized. NCBI's taxonomy places the organism in Eukaryota, Metazoa, Chordata, Mammalia, Carnivora, Canidae. The record is from RefSeq and is a predicted model, not a curated record. The transcript is spliced from 4 exons.